GACGAACGCUGGCGGCGUGCUUAACACAUGCAAGUCGAACGGAAAGGCCCUGCUUUUGUGGGGUGCUCGAGUGGCGAACGGGUGAGUAACACGUGAGUAACCUGCCCUUGACUUUGGGAUAACUUCAGGAAACUGGGGCUAAUACCGGAUAGGAGCUCCUGCUGCAUGGUGGGGGUUGGAAAGUUUCGGCGGUUGGGGAUGGACUCGCGGCUUAUCAGCUUGUUGGUGGGGUAGUGGCUUACCAAGGCUUUGACGGGUAGCCGGCCUGAGAGGGUGACCGGCCACAUUGGGCCUGAGAGAGGGCCCAGACUGCUACGGGAGGCAGCAGUGGGGAAUAUUGCACAAUGGGCGGAAGCCUGAUGCAGCAACGCCGCGUGCGGGAUGACGGCCUUCGGGUUGUAAACCGCUUGCGCCUGUGACGAAGCGGGAGUGACGGUAAUGGGUAAAGAAGCACCGGCUAACUACGUG
RNAcentral lists this ribosomal RNA (468 nucleotides) under uncultured bacterium. RNAcentral's name for it is "partial 16S ribosomal RNA". It matches the Rfam family "Bacterial small subunit ribosomal RNA", at positions 28 to 507 of the family's 1533-position model. The record is from RNAcentral.